This 253-nucleotide ribosomal RNA is filed under the name uncultured bacterium. RNAcentral describes it as "partial 16S ribosomal RNA". It matches the Rfam family "Bacterial small subunit ribosomal RNA", at positions 524 to 776 of the family's 1533-position model. The record is from RNAcentral.
UACGUAGGGACCAAGCGUUGUUCGGAUUUACUGGGCGUAAAGGGCGCGUAGGCGGCAAUUCAAGUCAGCUGUGAAAUCUCCGGGCUUAACUCGGAACGGUCAGCUGAUACUGCUUUGCUAGAGUGCAGAAGGGGCAAUCGGAAUUCCUGGUGUAGCGGUGAAAUGCGCAGAUAUCAGGAGGAACACCGGUGGCGAAGGCGGAUCUCUGGGCCUUACCUGACGCUGAGGCGCGAAAGCUAGGGGAGCGAACAGG